CCCUACGGGGUGCACCAGGAGGCGUUGGUGCAGGGCCACAGGUUGCCAUAGGUGUUCGUCUGGGGCGGGAAUUCGAACCAAGGCUGCAUUUUGUAGAGCCAGCCGUCCGUGUCGUUCGGGAAGUACUGUUUCACCACGUCGGCAUUGGGGGUUUGUCCGUCUUCCAUCAGCGUGCCGCGGCGAUUACCAUUGACGUAAACCACCACGUACCGGCGAUUCAGCCAAGGCACCCCCAUGGCGCGCAGGAAAGUGUGGGCUACUUGCUCACGUUGAAGGGUAGCGUCGGUGAGGGCGCGGGUACCAUCGUCCUCCUCAUCUUUCAAGGUGCUCGGGUCGUUGCCCGGCGGGUGCAGCUUGUUGAGCGAAUUGGCGGGGGGGC
Molecule: ribosomal RNA, 379 nt
Filed under: uncultured prokaryote
Description: partial 16S ribosomal RNA
Source: RNAcentral